This 3976-nucleotide long non-coding RNA is filed under the name Coffea arabica (coffee). RNAcentral's name for it is "long non-coding RNA (CARA_LNC004774)". Lineage: Eukaryota; Viridiplantae; Streptophyta; Magnoliopsida; Gentianales; Rubiaceae. The record is from RNAcentral.
AGGUGAUAGUUGGUGCAGAUGAGGUAGCUGUUGCAGCUAGUCCAAGUGGAAAAGCACAUGCUUUGGUAAACCUGGAUGCUCUGAGGAGUACAUUCUUCUUGGGGUGCCAGGAUAAUAUUAUCAAUUACAAUGACUCUACUUCUGACUUCAAUGUAUGGAAAGAUAUUUAGUUCUUUGAUCUUGUUAUUUCCGUAGCAUGGUUGGUUUUUUUUUUUUUAAAUAUAUAGUGUCAGCUAUCUCAGGGUUUUCAUCUUUGCUCCAGUUCUCUUUUAGCUGGGAGCCUUGUACAAGUAGCGGAAAAAGUUAUGAUAACCUUUUGUGUCACGUUGUAGUUCCUUUUUUGUAGUGAACUACCAAACCUGCAAAAACAAAUUACCUUCUAGUUCAAUCAAAUGCGAAAAUAAUACUACUAAUGGUAACCAAAUUGUAUCCUAAAAUGGCGAAAAUCAACUGAACGCUUCUAUGGCAAAUCCUCCAAGUAGAAGAACAUCAUCUUCUUCAUCUUCAUCAUCACCUUAUUCUGGCAGUAAUUACCUGCUUCCAAUUUCAGAUACCAACAAUAACAACAACCAAUUUCAAUCCCAAGCCACUGCAGCUACAGCAACAAUUAGACUAGUAAAUUCCAUCAAAAUCUUCCUCAGAAAACCCCAUGCUUUCCCUUUUCUCCUUUCCAUUUUCCUUUUUCUCACAUGGGUUUCCCUCAGAAUCCAGCAUCAUCAGCAUCCUAGGAGUGAUUUCAACACUUGGGCUCUGAAAUUGGGCAAUAAGGGUAAAGAUGAGGACGCCAAUCUUGUGAGGUUUCACUCUAUGUCGUCCUCUAUUGUGAAAGAUAAACGUGGGUGGUUUGUUGAUCCUGUUUCUCUCGGUCUUCAAGCUGGCAUUUCAGGUCUGAAUAUAUUUCUCUAUCCCUCCCAAAAACCGCCCCAAUUUUUUGUUCAAGGUGCCAUAUAUGCAGCACGAUGUACGAGACUUUUACAAAUAUGAAUCUGUUACUGUUAAACAGGGGGAGCAACGAAUUGUGCUUCGGUUCACAUUGGUGAGAUCCGAGCUGGGGGAGUAAGGGGGAAUCAUAGACACCAUUCUUGCAAUGAGACAUUUGUUAUUUGGGGAGCCAAAACCUUAUUUAGGGUGAGUUUUAAGUUACUAAUUCAUAUCAUUUGUCUAAUUCACUGUGUUUCACUUACUGUGUGUUUCAUUGUAAAGCCUGUCCUAUUUUCCUUGAGCAUAAUAGUUUCAAGAAAGUUAUUAUUUGGCUUGUGGAAAUUCAUCAGUUAGGAAAUUCUCUCAAGUUAUAACCAAAAAGGCUGGUUUCUUUCCCUUCUUUUUUUUAGCGUUUUAUCAGCUGGGAUUUGUCAUUAGUUUUCUAUAAAAGAGUAGAUAUCCUAUAAUUCUGCCAUUUAGCAAAAAAAAAAAAAAAGAAUAGCUUUUGGAGCUUGAAUUUUGCUGCUUAUUUAUUUUAAGCGGUCAAUGCUCAUAGAGAAACUAUAGAAAGCUUUGUAUACUAACAGAGAGUUUAUGCUGGAGAGGAUUGUUCUUCUUUUUGUAGUAUUUCUUAGACUAGUGGGACUGAAUGGGAGGGUAGUUGCAGAAGUAUGUCUAGAACAUUUAUAAUAUGCUUUUUUUGGGUCUUAGAUGGUUAUGGGUUGCUAAAAGCCUGCAUGACUAAAGAGGUGCAGCAGCUUUAAUUGUUUCUCUGGUGCCGUUAAUUUGUUUUUGAUCAAAGUCUUUUCCCUGGAAUUUGUUCUUGCCUCAACUAGUACAGAAGGGAGAAGAAAAUUUGCCAUUUGAUUUUGACGACAUGUAAUAUGUCAUAAUAGAAUUGCCAGCAAUAGUUUCUGUUUGCAUAAACAAUUGAAUGUAAUUUGGGGCCAAUGACACUGUUUGGGCAUUCUGGUUCAAGGAGGUCAACUAUUUCUAUUUCUUCAUAAUUAGAUUGAUUCUAUUUCUUCAUAAUUAGAUUGAAUACUAUAUGUCAAAAAAAAAAAAAAAUCUUUUUCUUUUCUUUUUCUUGUCUAGUCUUCCUUCCUCAAGCCACAAAUUCACAGACUCCGCUUGGCAUAAUUUUCUCUAUAUUCAUGUAUUUUAAAGGAUUACUUACAAAGUAGAGUUUAAUACUUGGGCUUUUCCUCUAGCUCUAAGUAUAUAGAGAAGGUGAAACACAGGAGUCUUGAUGCAUCAGUCAUUGUGGUGCAGCUCAAGUUAACAUGAAAUUAGGAGCAUGCUGGAGAGAAUCACUUAAAAACCAAUCUUACUUUUCCCUCUAUUGAUCUUUAUUUAGUUAUUUGGGGAACUGAUCAACUUUUUUUGAACAAAGUGGAUAGCCUAACUUUUAUGAAGUUUAAUAUGUGCCCUAGCAAGACAUCCUACAAAUUCUGUAGUUUGUUUGUGCCUUAGCACCAAUCAAGUUUCUCCAACGAGCAUUUGCUGCAGUAUUUAUGUUUGUGUGUAACAUUAUUCCAACUGUGGUAUAUUAUAUGUUCAACAGAGAACUGUCAUUUCCAACUGUGGUGUUAAGAGUUUCUUUAAUUUUUUUUUUGUCAAAUAAAGAUACUGGUAAGGACUAUUGUUUUCUGUGGGGCGGUAAAGACAUAAAGACAAAUCAGUGCACACUUGAAAUCAAGCUGUGAGUACUGAUUUUGUCAUUUGCCAUUCGAGGAUACAUGAUUUGGCUUCAAAAAUUAAACAUUUUCCAAGAUUGAGGGGGGUUGUCAUUUUCACUUGACUAGUUGAAUUCAUAUUUAAAGUUCGCACAUUUACUUUAUGUUUUGCUUGAAUCUGAAACUAGACUAAACCAUGCUGAUGCCCCAGCUGGGACUACUGGGUUUACUAAACAAGUCAACUCUAAGAUUCAGUUCACUGAGAUCAUCUUUUUUUCUGAAAAUCCUAGUUUUAUAGUGCAUGCACUUAACAUUUUCUAUGAACUGCAGCUAAAAGAGCUUGUCUUUGGGCUGAUCGCUUAAUAUAUUUAUUAUUCUUCUGAUUGAUAGCAUCUGACUUUUAUUGUCAAAUAAGCCCUUUUAGAGUUGACUUGUAUAGAUAUAUAACGAAAAACACUUCAAAACAUCAACACAAACAAAUCUGGAACUUAAGAUUUGACCAAUAUGCUUUAACAUUUUGCACCAAGGCGGUAGAGAAACUGAUAACAUGCAUGCUUAACGUUGCAUACUAGAGAACUGCUCUCAAGCUCUUAUUUGCAGCAUAACAUGCAAUUUGUUGGUUGCGUGCUCAAGUUACUUUCAUCAGCUUAAUUUGCUGGAUCCUGAAUUUCUUUCUUUUACACCUGUAAUGCCAUCUGAUUGGUGCUGUCAUCUAUCCAUUUGUUCUUCACUUCUUCUUCCUUCACUCUAUUAGUAAAUCUCAACAUACAAAUGUAUUUUUGCAGUUGGAAAAUAAUUUGGUUGACAAAGGCUAUGCUGAGGUGAUAGUUGGUGCAGAUGAGGUAGCUGUUGCAGCUAGUCCAAGUGGAAAAGCACAUGCUUUGGUAAACCUGGAUGCUCUGAGGAGUACAUUCUUCUUGGGGUGCCAGGAUAAUAUUAUCAAUUACAAUGACUCUACUUCUGACUUCAAUGUAUGGAAAGAUAUUUAGUUCUUUGAUCUUGUUAUUUCCGUAGCAUGGUUGGUUUUUUUUUUUUUAAAUAUAUAGUGUCAGCUAUCUCAGGGUUUUCAUCUUUGCUCCAGUUCUCUUUUAGCUGGGAGCCUUGUACAAGUAGCAGAAAAAGUUAUGAUAACCUUUUGUCUCACCUUGUAGUCCCUUUUUUGUAGUAGACUUUGUUUUUAAGUGAAUCUGCUAAUCACAAAUAUGGAUACUUUAAUGCCAAAAAGUAACAUGUAUGUGAAAAAUGUUUGUGUUUGUCCGGGUGUAUAUGUACAUGCAUUCAAAAGCUGAUGCAACUAUCUGUAAUGGGGCUUGCUGUGUUAGAAUCUAAGGGGUUCUCUUGCAGUUGAAUUGGAAUUUCAACCUUUGGAUUACAAGUUU